RNA transcript from Silurus meridionalis, 1268 nucleotides. It is a transcript of the gene named crooked neck-like protein 1, with no coding region annotated. The record is from RefSeq and is a predicted model, not a curated record. NCBI's taxonomy places the organism in Eukaryota, Metazoa, Chordata, Actinopteri, Siluriformes, Siluridae. The transcript has 6 exons.
GUCACGUGUUCUGCCGCUCCUCUCUCUGAUUGGCUAAUCCAUCAUAUCGGGAGAUUUCUUUGAGGGAAAAGUUAAGGCGGGAAAAUUACAUAGAAAAGUAUUGAGUGGAAAAAGCCAAAGAAAGAAAGAAAGAAAAGCAUUGAGUGUUUUGUGAGAAUUUAUUUUGUUAAAUUGGUCGUUUUCUAGUCAUUUCUGGAGUCAUGGCGUCCACCUCGACAGGAAACAGAGAAACCGUUAGAGAAGAAGGUAAAGAAUAAAGCCCCGGCUGAGGUGCAGAUCACAGCUGAGCAGCUGCUACGUGAAGCCAAGGAACUAGAACCGGACUGUCAUCAGCAACAGAAUUAAGUACACAGGAAAGUCUAAAGGAACUACAGAGACGUGCAUCAUCGGAAUGUCACGCUGUGGCUGAAAUAUGCCGAGAUGGAACUGAAGAACCGUCAGGUCAAUCACGCUCGCAACAUCUGGGACAGAGCCAUAACCAUCCUGCCCCGAGUCAACCAGUUCUGGUACAAAUACACUUACAUGGAGGAGAUGCUGGGGAAUGUAGCAGGCUGCAGGCUGGUGUUUGAGCGCUGGAUGGAGUGGAUGCCAGAGGAGCAGGCCUGGCACUUGUACAUUAACUUUGAGCUGUGCUAUAAGGAGGUGGAGAAAGCCCGCUGCAUUUAUGAAAAAUAUAUCCUUACCAGAGUGCUUGUGUUUGGGAUGUGAAACAAUUAUGUGCCUGUUUUUGGAAUGAAUGUGAGCUUUUUUUUUAUGAAACGCUACAGAGUUCUUAUCAGGAUUUCGAGAACUUUAUACAUGAUUCUGGUUCCUGGGAUGUAAGAACUAGGAGUUGCAUCACUGUUCAUGAAGAGGAAUUGAAGAGUCUGCUGAUCAGUAAUUAGAGCGUAAAACAAAAAGAUUCAGUAUGAUCGUGUUCGGGUGAUCUAUAAGUACGCACUGGACCGAAUCCCCAAACAGCAGGCCCAUCAGCUUAUCAACAACUACAUAGUGUUUGAGAGGAAUUUUGGAGACCGGAGAGGAAUCGAGGACGUCAUCAUCAGCAAAAGGAGAUUUCACUACGAGGAGGAGGUUAAGGCAAAUCCACAUAAUAAAGGCUCCUGGUUUGAUUACUUGCGUCUGUACGGAGCGACCCCGAUGUGGACACGGUUCGAGAUGUGUACGAAUGAGCCAUCGCCAACGUUCCCCCCAAUAUUAAAAGAGAACACUGGAGGCGCUACAUUUACCUGUGGAUCAAUUACGCUCUCUACGAGGAGCUGAAAGUCAAG